CCUACGGGUGGCUGCAGUGGGGAAUAUUGGACAAUGGGGGGAACCCUGAUCCAGCCAUGCCGCGUGUGUGAAGAAGGCCCUCGGGUUGUAAAGCACUUUCAGUGAGGAAGAACGCCUGGUGGUUAAUACCCAUCAGGAAAGACAUCACUCACAGAAGAAGCACCGGCUAACUCCGUGCCAGCAGCCGCGGUAAUACGGAGGGUGCGAGCGUUAAUCGGAAUUACUGGGCGUAAAGCGCGCGUAGGUGGCUUGAUAAGCCGGUUGUGAAAGCCCCGGGCUCAACCUGGGAACGGCAUCCGGAACUGUCGAGCUAGAGCGCAGGAGAGGAAGGUAGAAUUCCCGGUGUAGCGGUGAAAUGCGUAGAGAUCGGGAGGAAUACCAGUGGCGAAGGCGGCCUUCUGGACUGACACUGGCACUGAGGUGCGAACGCGUGGGUAGCAAACAGGAUUAGAUACCCGUGUAGUC
This 465-nucleotide ribosomal RNA is filed under the name Vreelandella stevensii. RNAcentral's name for it is "partial 16S ribosomal RNA". It matches the Rfam family "Bacterial small subunit ribosomal RNA", at positions 338 to 795 of the family's 1533-position model. The record is from RNAcentral. Lineage: Bacteria; Pseudomonadati; Pseudomonadota; Gammaproteobacteria; Oceanospirillales; Halomonadaceae.